GACGAACGCUGGCGGCGUGCUUAACACAUGCAAGUCGAACGGUGAAGCGAGUGCUUGCACUCGUGGAUCAGUGGCGAACGGGUGAGUAACACGUGAGUAACCUGCCCAUCACUCUGGGAUAAGCACUGGAAACGGUGUCUAAUACUGGAUACGACCAACCCAUGCAUGGGGUGCUGGUGGAAAGAUUUAUCGGUCAUGGAUGGACGCGCGGCCUAUCAGCUUGUUGGCGGGGUAAUGGCGCACCAAGGCGACGACGGGUAGCCGGCCUGCGAGGGUGACCGGCCACACUGGGACUGAGAGACGGCCCAGUCGGCUACGGGAGGCAGAAGUGGGGAAUAUUGCACAAUGGGCGAACGCCUGAUGCAGAGACGCCGCGUGAGGGAUGACGGCCUUCGGGGUGUAAACCUCUUUCUGCAGGGAAGAAGCGAAAGUGACGGUACCUGCAGAAGAAGCACCGGCUAACUACGUG
Molecule: ribosomal RNA, 469 nt
Filed under: uncultured bacterium
Lineage: Bacteria
Description: partial 16S ribosomal RNA
Rfam family: Bacterial small subunit ribosomal RNA
Source: RNAcentral